Molecule: ribosomal RNA, 768 nt
Filed under: uncultured organism
Description: bacterial SSU rRNA
Rfam family: Bacterial small subunit ribosomal RNA
Source: RNAcentral
GCUCAGGACGAACGCUGGCGGCGUGCCUAAGCUUAUGCAAGUCGAACGCGAACGGCUCCUUCGGGAGCCUAGUAGAGUGGCAAACGGGUGAGUAACGCGUGGGUAACGUACCCUGAUCCUGGGAAUAACCCUCGGAAACGAGGGCUAAUACCGAAUGUGGCGAACGACCGGUUGGUCGCUCGCUAAAGGUGGCCGCUUCUAUGCUGCCGGGUUGGGAUCGGCCCGCGUCCCAUUAGCUAGUUGGUGAGGUAACGGCUCACCAAGGCCACGAUGGGCAGCCGGCCUGAGAGGGUGUACGGCCACACUGGCACUGAGACAAGGGCCAGUCCCCUAUGGGAGGCGCAGGCGGGAAUAGUUCACAAUGGGCGAAAGCCUGAUGACGCGACGCCGCGUGAGCGAAGAAGACCUUCGGGUUGUAAAGCUCUGUCAGGAGGGAAGAAGGCUCUACGGGUUAAUAGCCCGUGGAAUUGACGGUACCUCCAGAGGAAGCCCCGGCUAAAUACGUGCCAGCAGCCGCGGUAAUACGUAUGGGGCAAGCGUUGUCCGGAUUUACUGGGCGUAAAGGGCGCGUAGGCGGUUUGUUAAGUCGAAGGUGAAAUCCUCGGGCUCAACUCGAGAAUUGCCUUCGAUACUGGCAAACUAGAGUGGCGGAGAGGAAACGCGGAACUCUUGGUGUAACGGUGGAAUGUGUAGAUAUCACGAGGAACACCGGUGGCGAAGGCGGCUUUCUGGACGCACACUGACGCUCAGGCGCGAAAGCGUGGGUAG